CCUUUGAGUUACCGCGGCGGACGGGUGAGUAACACGUGGGUAACCUACCUAUAAGACUGGGAUAACUUCGGGAAACCGGAGCUAAUACCGGAUAAUAUUUCGAACCGCAUGGUUCGAUAGUGAAAGAUGGUUUUGCUAUCACUUAUAGAUGGACCCGCGCCGUAUUAGCUAGUUGGUAAGGUAACGGCUUACCAAGGCGACGAUACGUAGCCGACCUGAGAGGGUGAUCGGCCACACUGGAACUGAGACACGGUCCAGACUCCUACGGGAGGCAGCAGCG
This 280-nucleotide ribosomal RNA is filed under the name uncultured Staphylococcus sp. RNAcentral describes it as "partial 16S ribosomal RNA". It matches the Rfam family "Bacterial small subunit ribosomal RNA", at positions 82 to 356 of the family's 1533-position model. The record is from RNAcentral. Lineage: Bacteria; Bacillati; Bacillota; Bacilli; Caryophanales; Staphylococcaceae.